GCUCGGCUCGGGCUCCGGCGGCAGCGCCCCCCGCGCCGGGCCCCGGGGCAGGCGGCGGCGCACCAUGGCCCGCGCCCAGGCGCUGGUCCUGGCGCUCACCUUCCAGCUCUGCGCGCCCGAGACCGAGACUCCGGCAGCCGGCUGCACCUUCGAGGAGGCGAGUGACCCGGCAGUGCCCUGUGAGUACAGCCAGGCCCAGUACGACGACUUCCAGUGGGAGCAAGUGCGGAUUCACCCUGGGACCCGGGCUCCUGCGGACCUGCCCCAUGGCUCCUACUUGAUGGUCAAUGCUUCCCAGCAUGCUCCAGGCCAGCGGGCCCAUGUCAUUUUCCAGAGCCUGAGCGAGAAUGACACCCACUGUGUGCAGUUCAGCUACUUCCUGUACAGCCGGGAUGGGCACAGCCCAGGCACCUUGGGCAUCUAUGUGCGUGUCAAUGGGGGUCCCCUGGGCAGUGCCGUCUGGAACAUGACAGGAUCCCAUGGCCGUCAGUGGCACCAGGCUGAGCUGGCUGUCAGCACCUUCUGGCCCAAUGAAUAUCAGGUGCUGUUUGAGGCCCUCAUCUCCCCAGACCGCAGGGGCUACAUGGGCCUAGACGACAUCCUGCUUCUCAGCUACCCCUGCGCAAAGGCCCCACAUUUCUCCCGCCUGGGCGAUGUGGAGGUCAACGCUGGCCAGAACGCCUCAUUCCAGUGCAUGGCGGCGGGCAGAGCAGCGGAGGCUGAGCGCUUCCUUCUGCAGCGACAGAGCGGGGCCCUGGUGCCCGCUGCCAGCGUGCGGCACAUCAGUCAUCGGCGCUUCCUGGCCACCUUCCCGCUGGUUGCCGUGGGCCGCUCGGAGCAGGACCUGUACCGCUGCGUCUCCCAGGCCCCGCGUGGCGCGGGCGUCUCCAACUUUGCAGAGCUGAUUGUCAAGGAGCCCCCUACUCCCAUUGCACCCCCGCAGCUGCUGCGCGCUGGUCCCACCUACCUCAUCAUCCAGCUCAACACCAACUCCAUCAUUGGUGACGGGCCGAUCGUGCGCAAAGAGAUUGAGUAUCGCAUGGCGCGCGGCCCGUGGGCCGAGGUGCACGCGGUCAACCUGCAGACCUACAAGCUAUGGCACCUUGACCCUGACACGGAGUACGAGAUCAGCGUGCUGCUCACACGUCCAGGCGAUGGCGGCACCGGCCGGCCGGGGCCGCCCCUUGUUAGCCGCACCAAGUGCGCAGAGCCCAUGAGGGCCCCCAAAGGUCUGGCUUUUGCUGAGAUCCAGGCCCGCCAGCUGACCCUGCAGUGGGAACCGCUGGGCUACAAUGUGACACGUUGCCACACCUACACCGUGUCCCUGUGUUAUCACUACACCCUGGGCAGUAGCCACAACCAGACCAUCCGAGAGUGUGUGAAGAUGGAGCGGGGUGUCAGCCGCUACACCAUCAAGAACCUGCUGCCCUACCGGAACGUCCACGUGCGGCUCGUCCUCGCCAAUCCUGAGGGGCGCAAGGAGGGCAAGGAGGUCACCUUCCAGACGGAUGAAGAUGUGCCUGGUGGGAUCGCAGCCGAGUCUCUGACCUUCACUCCCCUGGAGGACAUGAUCUUCCUUAAGUGGGAGGAGCCCCAGGAGCCCAAUGGCCUCAUCACUCAAUAUGAGAUCAGCUACCAGAGCAUUGAGUCGUCAGACCCGGCAGUGAACGUGCCGGGCCCACGACGUACCAUCUCCAAGCUCCGCAACGAGACCUACCACGUCUUCUCCAACCUGCACCCAGGUACCACCUACCUGUUCUCCGUGCGGGCCCGCACUGGCAAAGGCUUCGGCCAAGCGGCACUCACUGAGAUCACUACCAACAUCUCAGCUCCCAGCUUUGAUUAUGCUGACAUGCCGUCGCCCCUGGGCGAGUCUGAGAAUACCAUCACCGUGCUGCUGAGGCCAGCGCAGGGCCGCGGUGCGCCCAUCAGCGUGUACCAGGUGAUUGUGGAGGAGGAGCGGCCGCGGAGACUCCGGCGGGAGCCGGGCGGCCAGGACUGCUUCCCAGUGCCCCUGACCUUCGACGCGGCGCUGGCCCGCGGCCUGGUGCACUACUUCGGGGCAGAACUGGCGGCCAGCAGUCUGUCUGAGGCCAUGCCCUUCACCGUGGGGGACAACCAGACCUAUCGUGGCUUCUGGAACCCACCGCUUGAGCCCAGGAAGGCCUACCUCAUCUACUUCCAGGCAACGAGCCACCUGAAGGGGGAGACCCGGCUGAAUUGCAUCCGAAUCGCCAGGAAAGCUGCCUGCAAGGAAAGUAAACAGCCCCUGGAGGUGUCCCAGAGGUCGGAGGAGAUGGGGCUCAUCCUGGGCAUCUGUGCAGGGGGACUUGCCGUCCUCAUCCUCCUCCUGGGGGCCAUUAUUAUCAUCAUCCGAAAGGGGAGAGACCACUAUGCCUACUCCUACUACCCGAAGCCAGUGAACAUGACCAAGGCCACCGUCAACUACCGCCAGGAGAAGACCCACAUGAUGAGUGCCGUGGACCGGAGCUUCACAGACCAGAGCACCCUGCAGGAGGACGAGCGGCUGGGGCUCUCCUUCAUGGACGCCCAUGGCUACAGCCCCCGGGGAGACCAGCGCAGUGGGGGGGUCACCGAGGCCAGCAGCCUCCUGGGGGGCUCACCGCGGCGUCCGUGCGGCCGGAAGGGCUCCCCAUACCACACAGGGCAGCUGCAUCCUGCGGUGCGUGUGGCCGACCUCCUGCAGCACAUCAACCAGAUGAAGACGGCCGAGGGCUAUGGCUUCAAGCAGGAGUACGAGAGCUUCUUUGAAGGCUGGGAUGCUACAAAGAAGAAAGACAAGGUCAAGGGCGGCCGGCAGGAACCCGUGCCUGCCUAUGAUCGGCACCGAGUGAAACUCCACCCGAUGCUGGGAGACCCCGACGCCGACUACAUCAAUGCCAACUACAUAGACAUUCGGAUAAACCGUGAAGGUUACCACAGGUCAAACCACUUCAUAGCCACUCAAGGGCCAAAGCCCGAGAUGGUCUACGACUUCUGGCGCAUGGUGUGGCAGGAGCACUGUUCCAGCAUUGUCAUGAUCACCAAGCUGGUGGAGGUGAAGUGCUCGCGGUACUGGCCAGAGGACUCGGACAUGUACGGGGACAUCAAGAUCACGCUGGUGAAGACGGAGACUCUAGCCGAGUAUGUUGUGCGCAGCUUUGCCCUGGAGCGGAGAGGCUACUCUGCCCGCCACGAGGUCCGCCAGUUCCACUUCACGGCGUGGCCGGAGCACGGCGUCCCCUACCAUGCCACAGGGCUGCUGGCCUUCAUUCGGCGCGUGAAGGCCUCCACCCCUCCAGAUGCUGGGCCCAUUGUCAUCCACUGCAGCGCGGGCACUGGCCGCACAGGUUGCUACAUUGUCCUGGAUGUGAUGCUGGACAUGGCGGACUGUGAGGGUGUCGUGGACAUUUACAACUGUGUGAAGACCCUCUGCUCCCGGCGCGUCAACAUGAUCCAGACUGAGGAGCAGUACAUCUUCAUCCACGAUGCAAUCCUGGAGGCCUGCCUGUGUGGGGAGACCACCAUCCCUGUCAGUGAAUUCAAGGCUACCUACAAAGAGAUGAUCCGCAUUGACCCUCAGAGUAAUUCUUCCCAGCUGCGGGAGGAGUUCCAGGUGGGGCAUGAGUGUGUGUGUGGGUGAGUGAGUGAGCAUUUGUGCAUGUGUGUGUGUCUGUGUGUUUGUGUGUGGUGUAUUGGGAGGUCCUCGGUGCUGUGGGAGUCACUGCGAGCCAAGCAGGAUGGACAGAGUUGGGCUACCAGGAGGGAUUUUGAGACAGUGGAGGAGGUGGUACAUCUUAGAGAUUAAGAGCCCAGGCUUUGAGGUCAGAUAAACCUGAGUUCAAAGCCUGCCUUUGCCUAGUUAAGAGCUGUGAAUAACCUCGCUAAGCCUCAGUUUUCUUACCCAACAAAGAAGAAGAUAGCUAAUAUUGCCCUUGCAGUGUUUGUCUUCCUUAUGAUUCUUUUGCUUGCAAGUGACAAAGAUCCAGCUCAGUGGCUCUUGUAACUAAAAAGUCUGUGGAUGGUCCAGCUUCAUUUAUGGCUGGAACCAGGGUCUCAAAUGAUGAUGCCAAGAUUUGGUCUCGUCCAUUUUUGGUUUCAUGCUCCUCUGUUUUUGGCUUCUUUCUCAGAUCCACACCCUGGCCCCCGUCAUCUUUGCUGUCAAGAGACUCUAAAAGGGGGUACUUCCUGCUCCCAAUAGCCCCCCCAAAAGUCCCAGGCCAGACUCUCAUGAGCCCAUUUCUGAGCCAGUCACUGGGACCAGAGAGAUGGAGCCCAGUGAUUGGCCCAUGUGUGGUUCUGGGGGCGGGGCAGGUCGCUCUGUCACAUGACUAGGAUGGGAGAAGCCUGGUUCUUAGGAGAAAUUGGAAUGUGGCCACUGGGUGGGGAGAGACCCAGAUGUUCUUUCCACUCCGGGGUUCCUAUGAGGGUUCAGAGGCACAUGCCGGGUGCCUGGUGCUCUAGAACUGGCACAGAGUGAUGACACAGGAGGUGCUGCACUGAUUCUUGGAGGAGGAUGCUGAUCUCUGGGGAUCACGUUAGGGAGCCCCAAGCAAGAGAAAGAAAGAAAGACUCUGUGAAUCAAGGUGCGUGAGGCUCGAAGGUGGGAGGGAGGGGACCCAGUGUCCUUGGCUUGCUGUUGUGCCCGGUGUUCCUUGACAGGGCUGUGACUGCGGAAGGGGACCACCAGUGCCCAGUCCCCAGAGUCCGCUUUGCGGAAGAUGUGGGGUUUGACUUCUUCUUCUCUUUUUUUGUAUUUUGUCUUUUUUUUUAGGGCCGUUCCGGUGGCAUAUGGAGGUUCCCAGGAUAGGGGUCUAAUUGGAGCUGUUGCUGCCGGCCUACGCCAGAGCCACAGCAACACCAGAUCCGAGUCGCAUCUGCAGCCUACACCACAGCUCACGGCAAUGCCAGAUCCUUAACCCACUGAGUGAAGCCAGGGAUCAAACCCGCAACUUCAUGGUUCCUAGUUGGAUUCGUUUCCGCUGCGUCAUGACGGGAACUCCGGGUUUGACUUCUUAAAAGCACUUAGCAAUAAUCCUCACGGUGCCUCUGUGUAUUGAAGGCUGUGCAUGCGUCAGGCUUGAUAUUAUCUCAUUUCUUCCUCCUCGCACCUCCUCGAGGUAGGCAUAUCACUCUCCCAUUUUAUAGUUGAGGAGAAACAGGCUGAGAGAUACAGUAGCUUAUCUAAAGCUACGCAGGUGGUGAGGAGGCCAACUGUAGUCUCCAGAGCUCUGUCCACGCCCUGCACAGCCUGGGUACCUCCCUCUCUCCCUUCUCUCUGGACCUCAGUUUCUUCAUAUGCGGUAUGGGUCCCAUAACCCAGCCCAGUCUACUUCAUGGGGCUGGGAGGAGGCCCUGCAAACACAGGACAUCACCUCCCUGUCCUCUUCCCACUCCUGGUAGACAUUGAACUCGGUCACACCACCGCUGGACGUGGAGGAGUGCAGCAUCGCCUUGCUGCCCCGGAACCGGGACAAGAACCGCAGCAUGGACGUCCUGCCGCCUGACCGCUGCCUGCCCUUCCUCAUCUCCACUGACGGGGACCCCAACAACUACAUCAACGCGGCCCUGACUGAUAGCUACACACGGAGCGCAGCCUUCAUCGUGACCCUGCACCCGCUGCAGAGCACCAUACCCGACUUCUGGCGGCUGGUCUACGACUACGGGUGCACCUCCAUCGUCAUGCUCAACCAGCUGCACCAGUCCAACUCCGCCUGGGUGAGGGCCGUGCUGGGCGGGCAGGCUGGCUGCCUGCUGCCCAGGACCUCAUAUGUUCAAGGGCACACCUCAAAAGCCAGUGUUGGCUCCCAGCUCUGCCACCUCCUUGCUGGGUGACCUUAGACGGGUCCUGCUCCUUCCCAGAGCCUUGGUUUCCCGGCCUAUAAAACGAGGCUCAGACUGGAGAGAACUAGCUGCUCUUGAUGGAGCGCCUGAUACAUGCCAGGGACUCUGCUUUGUACUUGUGGGCUUCAUGUGAGAAAAUUAAGACCCAGACAGGUGAAGUGGCUUCUCCAAGGUCACAUAGCUGGGAAGUGGCAGAGCGAUGCCCCUUACCCUGGGCUGCCUCCUUCCAGAGCCUCUGCUUCUUCAGUCACUCAACGAAACUGCCCAUUAUGGUGUUAUGGGGGCCUAUGAGCCAGAGUAGAAUUCCAGCUUCUGUACUCUCUGUUAAUCUAGGGUAAGUUAAUUUAUCUCUUUGAGCCUCAGUUUCCUUCUCUGUGAAAUGGGGACUGUCACCACACCUGUUCUCUCAUGGGUUAUUGUCAGGACAGUGUGAGAUACAUGUAGGAUGCUUAGCAGGGGCUUAGUACAUGGGAGGGAUGAAGAUGAGGGUGACAGUCGCUUUUGAGAUUGGUCCAGACACUGGCUCCGUGAUCUCAGCUAUCCUCCUUUCCUUCUAGGGCUCCCAAAGCUGGACCUCCUGGGAGGCACAGAUGCCCAACCUUCUAGCCUUACAUGACCAGAUCCUCAGGGCCCCUGAGCCCCUGCCUGUCCUGGCCCCCCAGCCCUCCCAGCCUAGGAGGUCAGGAUGGAUUUGCUAUAAAACGAGCAUGAUAGCCUCUUUUUUUUUUGGUCUUUUUAUUUUCCCUUUCUAGGGCUGCUCCUGCAGCAUAUGGAGGUUCCCAGGCUAGGGAACCACAGCAAUGCGGGAUCUGAGCUGCGUCUGCGACCCACAUCACGGCUCGCGGCAACACUGGGUCCUUAACCCACUGAGCAAGACCAGGGAUUGAACCCAUAACCUCAUGGUUCCUAGUCGGAUUCGUUAGCUACUGAGCCAAGAUGGGAACUCCGAGCAUGAUAGCCUCUUAAUGGCCACCUGGAGAAGAUUGUUAACUAUUUUUUUCAGGUCAGGCACUUGGUAUAAAUGACAAGGACUAUAAGGUAAUGGGCUCCAGCGCCUGGGCAGGGAUCUAGAGGAAUCCCAUGCAGCGAGAGCCCACCUUUGCUAAGAUGGAAGGAAAGGACCCAGAGGGAGGCCCACACGGACAUCAUUCACUGGUCACCCAUUUGCUCAUUCAUUCAACCACCAUUCCCCACGGGCCACUCCUUGUCAGGCCCUGCAGCUUGCUGGGGAGACAGAAGGAGAACACACAGCCCCUCCCAGAUCUCACGGUCCAGGGGGAAGCAGGUACCUGACACCAGAGCAAGAGGGCUGUCAUGGAUGGAGCUGGCACAGGGACAAAGAGGAGCUUGGGGGAUGAUGCAUCAAGGAGGGCUUCCUGGAGGAGGCACAUGGUGUUCUGUCUUUGUGGUCCGAGAGGGAGGCAGGUGGAGCAUGGUGUGGUCUGGGAGAAGCUUAAGGACCAUUUCACAGAUGGAGAAACUGGGGCCCAGAGAAAAGACGAGCCUUAUUAGAGGGCUACUAGAAGCCGGGGCCUCGGACCAAUUGCCCUGGGGCCCCAUGUAUGUAUGUGCGUGGGGACUAUGCCUCCUCUGUCCCUCCACUGUCUUAAGUCUGUGCCCUGGAGGGGGUACAUUUAGGACCCUGAUUCCACGGAGGGGUUCCUAGGGCGGCACAGGUCGCAGCACAGGACACCCCACGUCUGUGAUGCUGGAGGGCAGAGGCAGCAAGAGAGAAGACUGUGGGGCAAAGUGGGGGGCCAGGGUGAUCUGAGGCCUAUUCUCUCCUAUAGAUGUGUGCACCUCUGAGUGUGUUAGAAGUAGCUCUCUAGUGGCACAGCAGUGUCAUGGUACCCACUACAAAGAGUUUGUCUUGGCUGACCUGAGUGUGUCUGUAUAAAGACGUGGAGUGGGUGUGCACUGUGGUCUGAGGGGGGAGGGGUGGAGUCGGGGAGACUGGAGGUAAGUCCAGAGUGAGUGAGGGAGUGAGUGAGGGGCCAGGGUCUGAGGGAGCCCAGGGCAAGUGUGGAGGUCUUGGGGGUGGGUGUGGGUGUGAAUGGCAGCUCCCCUCCCCUUUCUUUCUGUUUUUUUUUUUUUUUUUUUUUUUUUUAAGGGCCAUACCUGCAGCAUACAGAAGGUCCCAGUCUAGGGGUGGAAUCAGAGCUACAGCUGCCAGCCUACACCACAGCCACAGCAACGCCAGAUCUGAGCCACGUCUGUAACCUACAUCACAGCUCAUGGCAAUGCCGGAGCCUUAACCCACUGAGUGAGGCCUGGGAUUGAACCCCACAUCCUCCUGGAUACUAGUUGGGCUCAUUACCGCUGAGCCACAACGGGAACUCUCCCCUCCCCUUUCCACCACACUCCCAGCCCUGCCUGCAGUACUGGCCAGAGCCGGGCCGGCAGCAGUAUGGCCUCAUGGAGGUGGAGUUCGUGUCGGGCACAGCAGAUGAGGACUUGGUGGCCCGCGUUUUCCGGGUACAGAACAUCUCUCGGGUGAGUGGUUGAGAACCUGGGUGGUGACUGGGUGGCCUUGAAUGAUCCUCUGGAAGUCCCCAGGGGGCCACAUAACCCUGGUCAUCUUGUCCUCUGGCUGACUGCUCUCGCCCCCAGCUGCAGGAGGGCCACCUGCUGGUGCGACACUUCCAGUUUCUGCGUUGGUCUGCGUACCGGGACACGCCUGACUCCAAGAAGGCCUUCCUGCACCUGCUGGCCGCGGUGGACAAGUGGCAGGCAGAGAGCGGGGACGGCCGCACCAUCGUGCACUGCCUAAAUGGGGGCGGCCGCAGCGGCACCUUCUGCGCCUGCGCCACGGUCCUGGAGAUGAUCCGCUGCCACAACCUGGUGGAUGUUUUCUUUGCUGCCAAAACGCUUAGGAACUACAAGCCCAAUAUGGUGGAGACCCUGGAUCAGUACCACUUUUGCUAUGAUGUGGCCCUGGAGUACCUGGAGGGGCUGGAGUCAAGAUAGCAGGGGGGCCCCUGGCCUGGGGCACCCACUGCGCACUCAGGGCCAGGCCCACCAUCCCGGACCGAUGAGGAAGACCUGCGCCCCCGACUCUGCUCAGCCUCAGCCCCCCACGGGGAAAGCACCGGAGUGGGCGCUGGGCCAUCUUGGUGUCCCCUUCCUCUGUGGGCAGGGCCUUUCGCCAUGUCCGUGGACAGGCUGCGGGCCAAGGAGGAGCUUAGCAAAACAGCAGCCCAGCCCGCCUCCACAGGAUCCUGCAGGCCUGUGCUCAGAGGCCUGGUACUGCCUGGCAGAGCGAUGGGCUCAGUACUGCCAGCUCUGGGGGACCUGGGCCCAGCCCCUGGACUGCAUCCAGCCCUUGGCAGAGAUGAGCGAGGGCCCGUAGAGCAUGUGCCAGGCCAGAGUUCCUACCCAGCUUGGCUCAACGUGGGUAGAGAGCGUGUUGGGGCCUGGCACCUAGCGUCCCAUCCAGCCCAGCCCCCGAGGGUCCUGGGGAGACUGGGUUCUGCCCUGAUUUGCCAGUGGGCACAUCAGACUGGUCCUCUGAGGGGCAGCUUCAGCUCCCUCCCCCCUCCGCUGCCUUCCUGCAGCCCCGGGGAUGUUUUGCUCAUAAUCCCCCCAUUUCUGCUUCCCUGAAUGUGCUCUGAGCAUCCCUGAACCAGGAUCUGCCCAUCCCUACCCUGUCCUGUGUGGUGUCCCUUCCCUGCUUGACCCAAUGUCUGCAGAAUGAAGUCACCUUAGCCCCCUCUGCUGGAACUCUCAGGCCUCGCUGGCUGGGUCCUGCUCAGCCUGGGCUAGUGACAAUCUGCAAGGCUGAGUGACAGCCCCUGGGGUUGAGGUCCCUGUGGCUCCUGGUCAGGCUACCCACUGGGAAGGGAGCACUGUUAAAUCAGGGGUGCUCACCACCCCUAGAGUUUGGAGGAAGAAGGUAUAUUUUGGGAUGGAGGAUCAAUGCUUUUUUUUGUUUAUUUUGUUAUUUUUUGAUAGGUGGGUGGGACAGUCUCUUUAAAAUGGGGCAGGCCACACCCCCAUUCCGUGCCUCAGUUUCCCCAUCUGUAAACUGUAGAUAUGACUACUGACCUACCUCGCAGGGGGCUGUGGGGAGGCAUAAGCUGAUGUUUGUAAAGCGCUUUGUAAAUAAACGUGCUCUCUGAAUG
Molecule: non-coding RNA, 9965 nt
Organism: Sus scrofa (pig)
Lineage: Eukaryota; Metazoa; Chordata; Mammalia; Artiodactyla; Suidae
Source: RefSeq, a predicted model, not a curated record